RNAcentral lists this ribosomal RNA (253 nucleotides) under uncultured bacterium. RNAcentral's name for it is "partial 16S ribosomal RNA". It matches the Rfam family "Bacterial small subunit ribosomal RNA", at positions 524 to 776 of the family's 1533-position model. The record is from RNAcentral.
UACGAAGGGGGCUAGCGUUGCUCGGAAUUACUGGGCGUAAAGCGCACGUAGGCGGAUCUUUAAGUCAGGGGUGAAAUCCUGGAGCUCAACUCCAGAACUGCCUUUGAUACUGGCGAUCUCGAGUCCGGGAGAGGUGAGUGGAACUGCGAGUGUAGAGGUGAAAUUCGUAGAUAUUCGCAAGAACACCAGUGGCGAAGGCGGCUCACUGGCCCGGUACUGACGCUGAGGUGCGAAAGCGUGGGGAGCAAUCAGG